AUACUUCCUUGAGACCCUCAUCUUUUCCCAAUUCAUUCUGCAAUCUUCACGCCUCACUCUCUCUCCCUUCUCAAUUCCUCCUAACUCUCAUCACUGCAAGGAUAUACUUCCUUCUGAAACACAAGAGGCUUUAGCAUCAUUUUCCAACUAUGAAAAUGUAUUUUAUCCCAUAUCUGAAAUGUCGUAAUUGCUUCUGUUGAUCCUAGACUCAAUAAUUUGUAAUUUAUUUUAAGAUUUAUGUAUAAGAUUUGCUAGUGUGAUAAGAAAUUUAAAGUCGGUGAAAAAAAAAUGCAGAGCACAAAAAUAACAGGAUUAAUGGUAUGCGGAUUCUUUCAGGAUCCUUUAUGAUAUGUCGACAACAGUGGUCAAGAAGGGGACCAAUUGCUGAACAAGAUAUUGGCGGCAGUGGUCAAGAAGUGGGAGCUGUUGCUGAACCGGAAAUCAAAUUCACCACCGCAACAGUAUGCUUCCAUGUCUUUCAAUGCUUCUUUAUAGCACCAUCUAUUUUAUUAAUUCUAGCUUUCGCGGCCAUCACGUCCCCUAUAGAUUACCUUUGUACCACAGUUCAAUAUGUGAUUUGUGAUAUAAUUAUGGUGGAGAUCAUUUGUCGAUUUAAGUAAAAAAUCACCCCAAAGAUUGUCAAGUUCUUAGGAAUAAGAUGCAUCAGGGAAGCAAUAGAGAUAUUUUUAUAGGCUCUGGGUCUUUAUUUACAAAAAUAUUAUAGAUCCCGAAUGCAUAAUUUGUGUUUUUACCCUAGUAUGUUGUUCCUACUACCUGAUUUCCUAUGUCUUAUUUUUGAGACAUAGUGGAGCCCUAAGUUUUCUGGAUUUUGCCCUAGGGAUAUAUGCUGUAAUUCCAGUGCGUUUUAUAAAAUUGAUGGACGGUGGAAAAAAUCUUUAAGGUUAUGAAUAUGCAUUAUUCGUUCUUUCAAUUACAACUUGCAUUUCUCUAUUUUUAUUUAAAAGUCAUUAGGAGAAUGUAAUUGAAGGGAUUGUGAAUCCACAAAACUUUGUUUUUCUUUUCAUUUUUAGGUGUAUCAUAAUGUUUUUAUUUUUAAUAUGUACCAUUUUAAUUCGCAACCCUAAUAAUGAGAAAAUAUAUGAUACACCUAAAAAUGAAAAAAGGUCUAUGGAUUCUCAAUCCCUUCAAUUACAGUCUCCUGAUCACUUUUAAAUAAAAGUAGAGACAUGCAAGUUGUAAUUGAAAGCCCGAAUAAUGUAUAUUCAUAAUCUUUCAGAUUUUUUCCACUGUCCGUUAAUUUUAUAAAAUGCAUUAGAAUUACAGCAUUUAUCCCUAGGGCAAAAUCCAGAAAACUUAGGGCUCUACUAUGUCUAAAUAAUAAGACAAAGGAAAUCAGGUAGUAGGAACAACAUACUAGGGUAAAAAAACGCACAUUAUGCAUUCGAGAUCUAUAAUAAUAUGUAAAUAAAUACCUAGAGCCCAUAAAAAUAUCUCUGUUGCUUCCUUGAUGCAUCCUAUUCCUAAGAACAUGACUAUUUUUUGGGAUGAUUUUUGACCUAAAUCAAUGAAUGAUUGCCACCAUAAUUAUAUUAGAGAUGGAGCUGUGUAUGAAGGUAUUCUAUGGGGGACGUGAUGGUUGCGGUAACUGUAAUUAGUAAAAUAGACAAUGCUAUAAAGAAGCAUUGAAAAACACUUAAACCCUAAACCAUACUGUUGUUGUGGUGAAUUUGAUUUUCGGUUCAACUCUUAUGAUAUCUUUAUGAUUUAAAUAAUAAGAUUCAACUAGGAGUUAAGUCGGAAUGGAUUUCUAAUUUUCGACAAUAAAUUUUUUGAAUCUGUUCACAAAUAUUUUGAAUCUGAAUGUUUUUUCAAAAGUUAAAAUGAAAGUCAGAAUGGCAUUUUGCAAUUCUAAUAACUAGGAAUUUCUGAUAUAAAUUUUUUCAAAGUAUGCACCCAACUUAUUCGGAUACCAAAAUGGUUUGAUUUCUGAUAGUUGUCUACUCAAUUAUAAAAAUGAAAAGUUAAUUCUCGUUUGUCAAAAGCCUAGCUCUAGCCUAGAUUUUUUAACUCAGUCACUUAUAUACAUUUUACGCAAAAUGUUACUGUUUUUGUUCAUGUGCUCGUGCGCAUUACAAGUUCGAUUUUCGCAAUUGUACAUGUGCACGUUUUAUUAUUAUAUCGUAAUUGUAAGACCAAUCAUGCAAGUUGAAAUAACAUAUUUGGAUAUGCUCUAAAUUCACUUAACUUAUGGAAAGAGAAAUUUGAACUCGAACAUUCCAGAUUCCUUUGCAUAAACAAAUAUCAUAAGACCAGCCAUGAAAGUCGAAACAACAUAUUUUCGUAGGCAAUAUUAACACACUAGAAAACGUAUGAUAAAUAUUGAGCGAAGUAGGUUUGAAUUACUAAAUGUGAGUUUAUUCAUAAAUUUUAGUUUUGUUGUUAAUUCCAACUUUUACUUGAUGAUAAUUAUGAAAUAAUUACAAACAAAAAAAAACAAAAAAAAAAAAAAACAAAUCCACAUUUAAAGUUGGUUUUAAGUCAUAUGAAGUUAUUUGAGCUCAAAUAAAAUUUCUCUUCUUAAAAUCUAGGGAGUUUUGUUAAAACACUGAAAAUCGUAAGAGGGGUAUAUAUUAAACAACAUUAAAUUAAUUUAAUGAUUAAAAUUUUAAUCAGUCUUACCUCUCUAACCGAACACCAACAUAUCUACUAUUCUUGCAAACCAAGCUCCAGCUUCUCCCUCACAUUUGGCCGGCACCUUGCUCUCCCACAAUACAAACCAAAACAACGAAGCAGCCACCUAUUGCUAGACCAAAAUUGUUGGAGCAUGCUUGGUGUUGUUAUUGAAAGCAAUUCCUGAAAAAAUAGAGAAAAAGAAAACAAAAAAAACAUGGCGUAUAAGGCGGCAUUGAACCGGGAGCCGAGAAUGUCGUCUUUGUCCUCUCCGGGCCAUGACCUGUUUUGUACCCCUUUGGAUAAACAAAAAAUGAAAAUAGAAAAACAAAAAAACGUGUAGCCAACCUCUCCUCCCACCUCCUCUUCACACCUCAAUUGGAAAUUUGGAUUUCAAUUCAACUUUGUUUAAGUAUAUAUGGUAUAAUUGUCUCCUUAAAUACAUUGUUAAAUUCAAUCUCCAAUUACGAUUUUGACAGUUCUCCUAUUACAAUUUUAUCCAUCAUAACACACAUGAUAAUUUGGAGAGAUUUUUGAAAAUCUAUCAGGAACAAUGUUUGGUACAACAAAAUGUAAUAACUCAAUUAGUUGGAAACUUAAAAACAGUAACAUUAUCCAUCAAGGUUGCACUAUUUAUACAAAAUUGCAAUUGUAUAUGAAUAUAUACAUGAUCCUCAAAACAGCAAAUAAUGACUUCAUCUCUCAAUUAUUUACACAAAAUUGCAAUUGCAUAUGAAUAUAUAUAUAUAUAUAUGCACAUAUAUAUGUGUUUGUGUGUGUUUGUGUGUAUAUAUAUAUCAAUGCAUAAUACAUAACAUUACUACAGGUACGCAAAUUUAAAUUGCCAUGAUCGAUGUCGCUAUUGUGAGAUCUCAAACCAAUUAUUUAUUAUCGUGAAGAAAAAUUAAACAACAAAAUAAUAUGUAAUUAAUUCAAAAUACUAUUAUAACUAAUGACAUCUUAACGUUUAAUAUGCAAGUAAGUCUCUCUUCGCUCGGUAUAAAUAAUGGCGAAU
RNAcentral lists this long non-coding RNA (3646 nucleotides) under Malus domestica (apple). RNAcentral's name for it is "long non-coding RNA (MDOM_LNC018992)". Lineage: Eukaryota; Viridiplantae; Streptophyta; Magnoliopsida; Rosales; Rosaceae. The record is from RNAcentral.